AUGCGCACCGCCAUCACGUCCGCCAACGCCUCCUCCCCCGUCCGCUUCUCGUGGGACGCGGUGCGGAAUGCCAACUACCACGUCCCCGGGUACUCCUGGAUGCUCUACUUCGCGGAGCUGCAGAAGGACGCCGUGCGCGGGUUCUACAUCACCACCAACGGCGAGCUCUCGUACCCGCACGUCAUGACGCCGGCGUACCUGGCAAUGGACGCCAUCUUCCAGCGCAAACCUGUCCAUGGCUUCGACCGGUACGACAUCUCGCUGAACGCCACCGCGAACUCGACGCUCCCGCCGAUCAUCAACGCCGUCGAGGUCUUCUCGGUCCUCCCUACCACCGGCGUAGCCACGGCCGCUCAGGAUGUUUCUGCCGUCACGGCGGUCAGAGACAAGUACCGGGUGAAAAAGAACUGGAUGGGGGAUCCCUGCGCGCCGAGGAAAUUCGCGUGGGAUGGAUUGAGUUGCAACUACGCUGUUUCGGGACCACCAACUGUCAAAGGCUUGAAUCUGUCUUCAAUGGGUCUGAGUGGCAAUAUCUCGUCUUCUUUUGGGAAUCUCAAAGGUUUACAAUACUUGGAUUUGUCUCGCAACAACCUCACCGGCUCCAUUCCUGACACACUUUCACAAUUGUCAUCGCUUACACUUCUUGAUUUGACAGGAAACCGGCUUACAGGAGAAAUUCCUUCCAUGCUUCUGAAAAGAAGCCAAGAUGGCUUCUUAACUCUGAGAUAUGAUAACAAUCCGGACCUCUGCAGCAAUGGCAAUUCUUGUGUUCCUCCAAAGAAGAAGGGCAAUUCAAUGGUUCCUGUCUAUGUUGCUAUUCCAAUAGUUGCAGUACCCGUGAUUGUGUUGCUUUUAGUGCUGCUCAUUUGCAUGCGAAGGAGAAAGCAAGGAACAGCAAGCAACAGCAUCAAGCCGCAGAAUGAGACACGCUUUACCCCGUCGCACUCUUGGAAUAGAAACAAAGACAGCUCACUGCAACUGAACAACCAGCGGUUCACGUACGAGGAAAUAAAGGUCAUAACGAACAACUUCCAGCGAGUGAUCGGCCAAGGAGGGUUUGGUAAAGUCUAUGAUGGAUUCUUGGAGAAUGGCACCCAGGUGGCUGUCAAGCUUCGAUCUGAGUCAUCAGCUCAAGGUGUACAAGAGUUCCUGGUCGAGGCUCAGACAUUGGCUAAGAUUCAUCACAAAAAUCUUGUAACCAUGAUUGGCUACUGCAACGAUAGAGAUCACCUAGCCCUCGUGUACGAGUACAUGUCCGAAGGAGCCCUACAUGAACAUCUGAGAGGCAGACACCACGACACAACAUUAACCUGGGCACAGAGACUUUGUAUUGCACAGGAAUCCGCACAAGUUCAUGCCGGUGCACACAAGGGCUGCAAUCCACCCCUCAUCCAUAGGGACGUGAAAACAUCAAACAUCUUGCUAAAUGCGAACCUUGAGGCCAAGAUUGCCGAUUUCGGCCUACUCAAGGCAUUCAAUUGCGACGAUGAUACCCAUGUGUCCACAGCCAGGUUGGUUGGCACGCAUGGUUACAUUGCCCCUGAGUACCUAACAACAUUGCAGCCGACUAAUAAGACGGAUGUGUAUAGUUUUGGAGUAGUGUUGUUGGAAAUAGUCACGGGCCAACCUCACAUCUUGAGUAAUCCGGAACCUUCAAGCAUCACCAAGUGGGUCCAGGAACGGCUUUCCCAGGGAAACAUAGAGGGUGUGGUGGAUGCGCGCAUGCAUGGAGAGCACGACAUCAACAGCGUGUGGAAAGCAGCGGGCACUGCUCUCAAGUGUACUGAGCAGACACCGGCGCAACGGCCCACAAUGACCGAGGUGGUGGUACAGCUGCAAGAGUGCCUCGAGCUUGAGACUGCGCGCUGCAGCGGUGGCAGCACAAAUCCUAAGUUUUACAUGGCCAGUAGCAGCGACCCAUUCUCAAGUUAUAAUCCAUACGCCACCAACCAGUCUGCUAGUGUGAGCCAUAGCAAUGAUGUAUUUGAGGUGGAGCGUUUAGGCAGGGCUCCAACUAUGACUACUGGUCCUGUCGCCAGGUGA
Molecule: ribosomal RNA, 2043 nt
Filed under: Triticum aestivum (bread wheat)
Lineage: Eukaryota; Viridiplantae; Streptophyta; Magnoliopsida; Poales; Poaceae
Description: partial small subunit ribosomal RNA
Source: RNAcentral